GUUACUCGGAAUCACUGGGCGUAAAGGGCGCGUAGGCGGAUUAUCAAGUCUCUUGUGAAAUCUAAUGGCUUAACCAUUAAACUGCUUGGGAAACUGAUAGUCUAGAGUGAGGAGAGGCAGAUGGAAUUGGUGGUGUAGGGGUAAAAUCCGUAGAUAUCACCAAGAAUACCCAUUGCGAAGGCGAUCUGCUGGAACUCAACUGACGCUAAGGCGCGAAAGCGUGGGGAGCAAACAGGAUUAGAUACCCUGGUAGUCCACGCCCUAAACGAUGUACACUAGUUGUUGGGAUGCUAGUCAUCUCAGUAAUGCAGCUAACGCAUUAAGUGUACCGCCUGGGGAGUACGGUCGCAAGAUUAAAACUCAAAGGAAUAGACGGGGACCCGCACAAGCGGUGGAGCAUGUGGUUUAAUUCGAAGAUACGCGAAGAACCUUACCUGGGCUUGAUAUCCUAAGAACCUUAUAGAGAUAUGAGGGUGCUAGCUUGCUAGAACUUAGAGACAGGUGCUGCACGGCUGUCGUCAGCUCGUGUCGUGAGAUGUUGGGUUAAGUCCCGCAACGAGCGCAACCCACGUAUUUAGUUGCUAACGGUUCGGCCGAGCACUCUAAAUAGACUGCCUUCGUAAGGAGGAGGAAGGUGUGGACGACGUCAAGUCAUCAUGGCCCUUAUGCCCAGGGCGACACACGUGCUACAAUGGCAUAUACAAUGAGACGCAAUACCGCGAGGUGGAGCAAAUCUAUAAAAUAUGUCCCAGUUCGGAUUGUUCUCUGCAACUCGAGAGCAUGAAGCCGGAAUCGCUAGUAAUCGUAGAUCAGCCAUGCUACGGUGAAUACGUUCCCGGGUCUUGUACUCACCGCCCGUCACACCAUGGGAGUUGAUUUCACUCGAAGCCGGAAUACUAA
RNAcentral lists this ribosomal RNA (900 nucleotides) under Campylobacter jejuni. RNAcentral describes it as "bacterial SSU rRNA". It matches the Rfam family "Bacterial small subunit ribosomal RNA", at positions 540 to 1438 of the family's 1533-position model. Lineage: Bacteria; Pseudomonadati; Campylobacterota; Epsilonproteobacteria; Campylobacterales; Campylobacteraceae. The record is from RNAcentral.